CAAUAGCGUAUAUUAAAGUUGUUGCGGUUAAAGCUCGUAGUUGGAUUUCUGUUGAGGGCAGCCGGUCCGCACUUGGUGCGUGUAUCUGGUUUGACCUCGGCAUCCUCUCAAAAUACGUUUCUGCGCUUGAUUGCGUGGAGCGGAGUUUGAGACUUUUACUUUGAGGAAAUUAGAGUGUUCACGGCAGGCAAUUCGCCUUGAAUACUGAUUAGCAUGGAAUAAUAAUAUAGGACUUGGUUCUAUUUGUUGGUUUCUAGAACUAAGGUAAUGAUUAAUAGGGAUAAUUGGGGGCAUUUGUAUUGACACGUCAGAGGUGAAAUUCUUGGAUUGUGUUACGACAAACUACUGCGAAAGCAUUUGCCAAGGAUGUUUUCAUUGAUCAAGAACGAAAGUAAGGGGAUCGAAGAUGAUCAGAU
This 416-nucleotide ribosomal RNA is filed under the name uncultured eukaryote. Its description in RNAcentral is "SSU rRNA". It matches the Rfam family "Eukaryotic small subunit ribosomal RNA", at positions 592 to 1013 of the family's 1831-position model. The record is from RNAcentral.